Molecule: non-coding RNA, 72 nt
Organism: Rhamnusium bicolor
Lineage: Eukaryota; Metazoa; Arthropoda; Insecta; Coleoptera; Cerambycidae
Source: the annotation of a GenBank genome assembly
GGCCCAAUGGCUUAGUGCUUACACGUUAAGCUUGAAACCAAGAGGUCCCGGGUUCGAAUCCUGGUUAGGGCA